UAGCGGGGGAUAACUAUUGGAAACGAUAGCUAAUACCGCAUAACAGUAGAUGUUGCAUGACAUUUACUUGAAAGGUGCAAAUGCACCACUACCAGAUGGACCUGCGUUGUAUUAGCUAGUUGGUGAGGUAACGGCUCACCAAGGCGACGAUACAUAGCCGACCUGAGAGGGUGAUCGGCCACACUGGGACUGAGACACGGCCCAGACUCCUACGGGAGGCAGCAGUAGGGAAUCUUCGGCAAUGGACGGAAGUCUGACCGAGCAACGCCGCGUGAGUGAAGAAGGUUUUCGGAUCGUAAAGCUCUGUUGUAAGAGAAGAACGAGUGUGAGAGUGGAAAGUUCACACUGUGACGGUAUCUUACCAGAAAGGGACGGCUAACUACGUGCCAGCAGCCGCGGUAAUACGUAGGUCCCGAGCGUUAUCCGGAUUUAUUGGGCGUAAAGCGAGCGCAGGCGGUUAGAUAAGUCUGAAGUUAAAGGCUGUGGCUUAACCAUAGUACGCUUUGGAAACUGUUUAACUUGAGUGCAGAAGGGGAGAGUGGAAUUCCAUGUGUAGCGGUGAAAUGCGUAGAUAUAUGGAGGAACACCGGUGGCGAAAGCGGCU
This 604-nucleotide ribosomal RNA is filed under the name uncultured Bacilli bacterium. RNAcentral describes it as "bacterial SSU rRNA". It matches the Rfam family "Bacterial small subunit ribosomal RNA", at positions 134 to 726 of the family's 1533-position model. Lineage: Bacteria; Bacillati; Bacillota; Bacilli. The record is from RNAcentral.